Molecule: long non-coding RNA, 1612 nt
Organism: Panicum hallii
Lineage: Eukaryota; Viridiplantae; Streptophyta; Magnoliopsida; Poales; Poaceae
Exons: 2
Source: RefSeq, a predicted model, not a curated record
GUCUGUUCCCCAACAGGCGUGUUCACGACUCCCCGGAUUCGCUGCUUUUCCUCGCCGUCGGUGGCUUUUUGGCGCCGAUGCGCUUGGGGAACGGCGGAUCCUCUUCUAAUAAAUAGAGUAGUUGUACGUAGAUUAGGGUUGGAUUUCUUACCGGUGAAGAUCUGAUUAUCGCCUGUGUUCUUGGUGAGCGAGUCCCGGUUCUGUCUGAGGUGCGUGUGUUGCUCGAUGGUCUUAUCUUUUACACGGGCUCACCGUCGACGGGUAUGUCAUUGAUUUUAUCUUCUGCGUCGGUGUUCGGUUUCUAUGUGAUUUUCUUGGUGCCGUUGGUGCCCAUGGUGCCAGCGACAGUGCUGGAUCUGUAAACCAGAACACGGCAAUGGAUAUGUGGAGAAAUUUUUGGAAGGCUGCUGGUGACCUUUGAGGCGUCAGAUUUCUUGUUUUACCGGCGAUGUAAUGGCCGGCGGCCAUCUUCUUCAGCCAGGACGUUCAACGAGCUUACAGCAUGUCGAUGCACUUGAUAUGUGACUCAUGGUGGCGUCAAAAAAAUUGUGAAGAGAUAUCGUCCAGAAGGAGGUCGGCUUCAAGCUACAUAUUGCUCCGAUCGUCGGCGACAGGUUCAACCGAGAGGAUCUUGAUCUUGCAGGGACUGGGUUGUAGUUUCAUUUUUUUUGAGAGGGUCUUUGUAGGAUCUGGUGUAAACAUUAAGAAGUUUAUGUAAUAUAUAUUCCUGAUUUCAAAAAAAAGAUGAGGUUAUGCAACUGUGGAGGCUGCUCGACUCCUCUCGUUCCUUCUAGAGUGAAACAGUAGAGAGCGGCGACUCACAGGCUAUUUCGUUGUUCCUCCACCGGUUCGCCGUUGUCCUCACUUCCGUCGUCCUCGCCGGCGUUAGAGGAGGAGGGGGACCGGUUGAAUUGGCGGCGGAUUGGCUUUCCUCUGUAUAUAGGUAGCUAUAUAGCUGGAGCGCUGUCGGAGGAUGCGGUGGAGGCAGAUCUGGCGUUGGCAUCGACAAAGCUGAAGCUCCUUCCUCCGGCGACGGUCCAUGGAGAAUAAGAUGUGAGCUUGUCGAAUCUGGAGCCCUGGUGGGUGCUCUGAAUCUAGGUGGUUCUCCUACUGUUCCUCCCUCUUCUCCGUCGGUGCCGGCAUCGGUGAUGUUAGAUUCUCCGGCGGGAAGCUCGGGAGGUAAGUUUUACCAGCUUGUGGAAUCGGGUUGAUCUUCAUCUUCCACCUUUUCUGGUGGUUUCUUUUCACUCCGAGGUGUAUUGUCGUCCGGCGAACUGGGACUGUCAAUGGUUGAGGCGUCAGAUAUUCGAUUCUCUGGCAAUAUGAUGGCCGUUGGCCAUCUUGUUAGGCCUGCAUGUUCAGCGGCGAGUAAGAUGCGCGUCGGUGAUGCCGUUGUGCUACUCUGGGUGCCGCUUAAAAUCUGUGUGUGUUCGUCAGGAGAAUGGUCGGCUGCAACGGGACUGUUCUGGCCGUUGGCGACGAGCGCAACCGGGAGAAGCUUGCAAGGACUUGGUUGUAAUUUUCAUGUUUCUCAAAGGUGUCGUUGUAAGUGUUGGAAUGUAAACCAUCAAAAUUAUGUGUGAAAUAUAAAUCUGGUUUUCUAAAAAAAAUA